This 253-nucleotide ribosomal RNA is filed under the name uncultured bacterium. RNAcentral's name for it is "partial 16S ribosomal RNA". It matches the Rfam family "Bacterial small subunit ribosomal RNA", at positions 524 to 776 of the family's 1533-position model. The record is from RNAcentral.
UACAGAGGGUGCGAGCGUUAAUCGGAUUUACUGGGCGUAAAGCGCGCGUAGGUGGCUAAUUAAGUCAAAUGUGAAAUCCCCGAGCUUAACUUGGGAAUUGCGAUGGAAACUGGACGGCUAGAGUGCGGUAGAGGAUGGCGGAAUUCCCGGUGUAGCGGUGAAAUGCGUAGAGAUCGGGAGGAACAUCCGUGGCGAAGGCGGCCAUCUGGACCAGCACUGACACUGAGGCACGAAAGCGUGGGGAGCAAACAGG